Molecule: long non-coding RNA, 1474 nt
Organism: Aquila chrysaetos chrysaetos
Lineage: Eukaryota; Metazoa; Chordata; Aves; Accipitriformes; Accipitridae
Exons: 3
Source: RefSeq, a predicted model, not a curated record
GGGACCCCCGGUCUGCUGGAGUGUGUCCCCCAUCCCACAGGGCACCCAGGGCUCAGGGCUGCCAUCCCUCCCCGAUGGGUCUCGGAGGGAUGGGUCAGCUCCCAGGAGGUCCCUGUGGGGACACAUCUGUCCCCGCACAGAUGUCCCCAUGCCCAGCCACGUCUGUUCGUGGGAGCUGUUUCUGCCCCGUAGCGCUGCCCAAAGCGGGGGGCGGCAGUUGCGCAGCCGGGGUGGGAGUGGGGAAGGUGCCGUGGGGCUGCGAGCGGGACCCCCCAGGCUCCUCUCCCCCAUCCACUCUCCUGCCAGGGUGCUGAGCAGGGUCCCGCACUGCCGCAGGUCCCGGUGGGGGGUUUGUGGCCAGUGUCUUUUCCCUCAAGCACCACCCAGCACCGGUUCCCCUGUCCCUGGGUAAGUGUAAGAGUCUGUUGGUGCAUUGUAAGUCACAGAGCACCAUGUCAUCAGUGUUUUCUCAUAGUUUAAUAAAUCCCUUUGGCAGGGGCUUGCUCUGCUGCUCUUCUGCCAGUGCAGGACCGGCUGCUUAGCCCAGCUUUACCCAGUCCUUGCCCCGGCAUUGCCCAGGGAGCCCUGAAUGUGUCCAUUCCUGAGGGCUGGAUGGACUAGAUGCAAUUGGACUAGAUGAUUGUUGUAGGUCCCUUCCAGCUGAAAUUCUAUUCUUCUAUUCUAUUCUAUUCUAUUCUAUUUUAUUCUAUUCUGCCUCUGCCCCACGCUCCUGCGCUGCUGCUCGGGGUCACAUCACCCAGCCCUGCUCCCGUCCUCCUCCUCACUGCCCUGCACAGUCCAGGGCUGAUGGCAGAGGCUGGGCAGGCAGAGCCGGGGAGGGGGGACAGAAAAUAAACAAGUCUGUGCUGCAAUUUGCAACCACCUGCUAUUUUUGGUACCAGCUCUUUGUCACUUGUGAAGUGGCUUCUUGGGGCUGCUGGUGCAGAGAGCUGAGAAUGGCCGAGUCGAGCCGGUCUGGCAGGGGGUUUAUCAAAAUUUUGUAGUGAAUCAAAAUCAAUCUGGAGGGGCCGUCCUGCGGUCGAGGUGUCUGUCCUACCAGGGCCUCUGGUGCCAGCACAGGACGCUGAACCUCCCUCCAGCUGGACAAUGCUUGGAAAACCUAAGUAUUUUAGAAAUAGUGGAGAUGAGCAGAACGUCGGGAGAGGCCAGUGAAAUGCCUCCAGCCAUUUGGGCAGCACCUUGCAGCCCGAGCCAGGGCAGGCAGGCGUUUGCUGCCUUCGAGGAGGAAGAGGAAGAGGAGGAAGAGGAGGAAGUGUGCCUGGUGUUGGAGGGCAUGCCGGCUCCUGUGGCUCCUGCCCCCAGGCGAGGCUAACGGUGGCCGACGGCGCGCGAGGCCACCCUGCCCUUGCCCGUCACCGUUCCCAAGGACGCUUUUGGGGCUGGAGCCUGCUCUGUCCCCACCGCCCUGCGGCGCUCACGCCCGGGGGGGUGGCACCUGCACCGGGGGGGGUGG